Molecule: long non-coding RNA, 654 nt
Filed under: Heterocephalus glaber (naked mole-rat)
Lineage: Eukaryota; Metazoa; Chordata; Mammalia; Rodentia; Bathyergidae
Description: lncRNA (ENSHGLG00000045734.1)
Source: RNAcentral
GCCGCACUCCCGAGGUUGGGGAGCGCGUGCCCGUCUCCCCGCAGAGCGAGACGCCCGCGGCUGGAUGCAAACCAGAGGUCCCUACAACUCCGGCUGGCGAACCGCAGGUGGGAGCUCUCGGCUGCCAGGCUCCGGACAGGCCCCCAGCUCACCCCACUUCAGCUUCGUGGCCGCAAGAGCCGCCAGAGUGGGAGACAGGUCUGUAGUUCCGACAAGGUCCGCUCCAGUGUCGACGCGGUGGACACGGCUGCGGGGGCCAGGGGACAACAGCUGCUUUAAAGCCGGGAGCAACCCACAGGUGGCCUGUCAGGGAAACGGACGUCCGUGACGUCAUCCUGAAGGUCAAACAGGAGAAUAAGCUUAUCUGUGAAGAGAUACACAAGCGGCAGACUGGAAGGGAGAUUCCACCGUAUUUGUAGUAGUUACAGAAAAUUUCAAACAUAAGCAAAGCCAAUGCACUAAAAGCAGUCAAAAAACAAUAAACACAAAAAAGAGAUGAUAUUUGCGUGGAGACCCGAAUAAUCUGAAGGAGGCUUAUGCAAGAAAAUGUGGUGGGAGUCUGUGCGGAAAAGAUGAGGCAAAGGCUGGAGGGAUCCAAGAGCGUGUAAGAGACUGAAUGAGGUAACAUAGCCCAAAGGCAAGUAAAGGCCAUGG